RNAcentral lists this long non-coding RNA (2904 nucleotides) under Homo sapiens (human). RNAcentral describes it as "HSALNT0121588". The record is from RNAcentral. Lineage: Eukaryota; Metazoa; Chordata; Mammalia; Primates; Hominidae.
GGACGUGCCACUUUUAUGAACUAUAACACUCACUGCAAAGGUUUCCAGCUUUCACUCGUGAGUUCAGAGAUACCACAAACCCACCAGAAGGAACAAACAACUCCAGACAUGCUGCUUUGCUGCGUUUAAGAGCCGUAAGACUCACCGCGAAGGUCUGCGGCUUCGCUCCUGAAGUCAGCAAGAGCACGAACCCACCAGAAGGAAGAAACUCCGGACACAUCAUCUUUAAGAACUGUAACACUCGGCAGGGCAUUGGGGCUCACGCCUGUAAUCCCAGCACUCCGGGAGGUCGGGGGGGGGGGGGGGGGUGGAUCACGAGGUCAGGAGAUCGAGACCAUCCUCGCUAACACAGUGAAACCCCAGAUCUACUAAAAAUACAAAAAAUUAUUUUGGGCGAGGUGGUGGGCGCUUGUAGUCCUAGCUACGGGGGAAGCUGAGGUAGGAGAAUGGCGUGAACCGUGGAGGCGGACCUUGCAGUGAGCAGAGAUCGCGCCGCGAGACUCCGUCUAAAAAAAAAAAAUGAACACUUACCACGAGGGUACGCGGCUUCAUUCUGGAAGUCAGCGAGACCGAAAGCCUACCAAUUCUGGACACAAAAUGGGGUGGAGGUGGCAGAGAACAAUACUCGGUGAGGCUUUUGGGGGCCAUUAGGUGAUUCAUGUGAUCAAAGUGAAUAGUUCCUAGAUCAGGGACAGUCAAAACUUCCUAGGUACAUGAAGAAGCUGUUCCUCAAACAAAAUGUCACUUGGAACUGCCACAUUUAAGUGAAAGGGCAGUGGCUCUCCUUGGGGCUGGGGAGGGGGGUCUACAGCCACGUCCGGCUCUUAGGCAUUGUUAUUCCUUCUUCCCCAACUGUGGCCUCCAAGCCACUCUUGUAGAACCCCCCAGAGCUCUGAGGGUCCCAGUGGGAGAACCUCUGAUAGGAGGGAAGGAGUGAGAGAGUGCCCUGCUGCUCUUCCUCUCGCUUUGCUCCCUUAACUUGUGCUGUGCACAGCUCUUGACCUUUCUGAGAACAGACUGGCAUCUCUGGCCGCCCGCCCUCCUUCCCUCCCUCCUCACCAACCCUGACUGGCAGAGGUUCUCUGCGUAUCUGACUCAGUGAGCAACCUUCCUUAAGGCAAGGCCCUUUAUUUACCCCUCCGCCUCCCAUUUUGGCACCUCGGUGGCUAUAAAUACGCCCUGUGAAUGCAAUUACGUGAUGGAACGCAGGCUGCGCCAAAGCCUCUUUGCUCCAGGCUAUGGUGUCAGCCAUUUACCUCUGUGAAGCAUAUAAAAAGACACGCGACUCAAGAGGCAACGCACACGCUGAGACAGAAAGCAAGAGCACAACGAAAAAUACAACAACAAACAAAACUCAUAAGACGGCAUUAUGAGUAUUCCCGGGAGAACAAAAAGGCUCCAAGAAGGUAACUCCCGUCUCUUGAGCAUACAAUAUGGUUUUUAUAAACUUCCAGGACUCUUUCCUACUUUUUUUUUUGCUGUUUUUACCAUAUCACCCCCACAACACAGUUUUUUCUUAAGGAAAUUAAACACAAAACACCUACUGUAUAUUUAAUUUAAAGAGGAAAAAAAACUUCAAACCUUUCAAUGUUGAAAUAUCAUUAAGCAGGGUGACGCAAAGCUGGAGAGGCCAGGAAAUUGAGUCUUUAACCUGCCACUCCUUCCCGAGCGUAUGGCCAUGUAUGUCAUUACACAGCACUCUGCUCCAGAGUAUAAAUUAAGCUUCAUUAUAAAGAUGAAGGCAGCCCAGGCCUGGAGUUUCGCAGGAUCUGGCUGCGGUGGGCUGGGGGGUAGUGGGUGGGCCCUGGCCCUCUCUCUUCUAGAGGUCACAGUAGUAGCACAAGGACCCCCACCUCCUUCAUCCUCGGGGGCUGCUGCGAGGCCUUCUCAGCGAAGCAUUGGCCAGGCUCUGGGAAGAGCCGAUGACCGGCUGUGCUUUCCAGAUUUGGAAACUUGGCUCAUACUUUUCCUUAAGCAGCCUCCAGCUUCUCUGCGUAUUUCAAAUCAUCUUGUCAUUCAAUGCCCAGAGCAAACGCCGUGGUCUUGCUGAAGCCACAUUUCUAACCGCCCAGCUAUUUCUUUCCCUCUGGCUCCUCCUGCAUGACCAAGAUUUUGAAUUGUGAAGUUGAUUGCCUGACUUCCCGGCAAUGUUUCUUCAUGUUGGACAGGAAUGCUGAAUGCUGAUGUUUCAUGUACAGAGGGAUUGUAACUCUACCCCUCAUGCAAGCCUGAACCUGGAGGGCACUCCUCCUGUGGAGAUGCAGUCACCCUGAAGUGUUCUAGAAAGGCUGUCUACAGAUGCACCCACACCAAGCUCCUGCAGGAGAAGCCCCACUAUGUCUGCAAUGGUGGGUGAGAGGAAGAAGAAGUCCUUUUCACCAAACCUUUCACAAGUACCAGGGCUGCUUGACUGUUGGGGUAGAACUGUAGGCUUUCCCCCACUGAGCCCAGCACUGCACCUGUGGCUCUGCUGAAUGAAAAUUUUCACAAGCAAAAGUUCUGAGACUCAACGUCUGCCAUGUGGAUUAUUUGUUCCCAUGGGGUGCUCCCUUGAUGUGAUGGACUUCCCCUUGCCCCAGGAGUAGGAGUCCCUCCCUGAGGGCCAAACUACUGUGAAUGCUGCUGCUCCUCUGAGUCUAGCCACCCAGUGGGGCUGCCACACUACACUCCAGGCUGGUGAUGAGCAAUAUCUGCAAGGGUUACAGUAAUGUGACCUGUCCUCUAGUCUCCCAGGAGCAGGUACCAGCACCAACUCUGAUGGGGGUGGCAGAGGAGUGAUAUAGAAUCUGUGAGAUACCUUGGUUAGAAAUAGCUGUAGAGUGUUGGCUUUUUCAAAUGCCAGCUGUAGUAGUGAUUCAUUAAUAGACUCAGAACCUUCUGGUUAGCCAGGAUGAUGCACGCGAU